Long non-coding RNA from Hordeum vulgare subsp. vulgare (domesticated barley), 706 nucleotides. RefSeq lists it as uncharacterized. NCBI's taxonomy places the organism in Eukaryota, Viridiplantae, Streptophyta, Magnoliopsida, Poales, Poaceae. The record is from RefSeq and is a predicted model, not a curated record. The transcript has 3 exons.
AACUGCAUAUUACUUCAUGAUCAGGAAACGGCCAGCAAUGCGAGGCUAGCUCCUAUACGCAGCGAUAAGAAAAAUCUCCGUCGCCGACAAAAGGGGGUACUGGAUCCGGACAAGAUGCUGAAGAUUAUGCCCACCUGGAGAAUAUCAUCCAUGUUCAGCAACAAAUAUGUCCACCAUGAGGUCGAAGGCUAGUGAAAGACCCAAGAACAUUCCAUUAUAAUCUCUGCAGAUCGAUGUUGCUCCCCUCGGUCACCAUUCCUCGAAAAGCCGCCAUCAACAUUAAUCUUUAUGUAACCUUCUUCUGGAGGCCUCCAAGUUGGACAUGAGGUAGCCCCGGCAGUGGGCACAAGACCUGCCUGCCAUGAGUUCUCUCUGUUUUGUGUAUGGUUUUCCGGUGCUCGCUAAAGUUCGUUGCUACAUGGGUUGGCCGACCCAAGCACACCUUUGUGCGAUAGACAGACAAUUUAAACAAUAACGCAUGUGCAACACGCCUAAAGUGGGGCGUGCCUACUCAACGCGUGUUCAGUGUCAGCCAUGCCUGAAGCGGGACCAGCCCAAACGUGCGAAUAACAAUUGCCUCGUCGUUUUUGUCUUUUUAUGUUUGUUUUCAUCAUAUAUUUAUUUACAUUUUUAUACUUCCAAAUAUUGUACACAUAUUUUACAAAAAUAUAAUUUACAUACAAUUUGGAAAAACGUUAAUCAUGCA